Molecule: long non-coding RNA, 604 nt
Filed under: Equus caballus (horse)
Lineage: Eukaryota; Metazoa; Chordata; Mammalia; Perissodactyla; Equidae
Description: lncRNA (ENSECAG00000052867.1)
Source: RNAcentral
CAGAACUUUUAGAGAGAAAGCUUGCAAACCCCUGACGUAGAACAGCAACCUUGAUCUCACCGAAAUACCAAGCUCCACAGAGUGGUCACAGAAGACAAGGAAAGACGGAGAAACUGUCACAGCCUGGAGGAGACUUAGAGACACAACAACUAAACCCAGUGUGGCAUCCUAGACUGGGUGCUGGAACAGAAAAGGACAUUCGUGGAAAUUCAAAUAAGAAGGGAAACGACAUCUCAGAGCUUGAGACACUUCGCCUCAUAAGGAGCAAAGCAGAGGUUAGCAUCUCAGUUUUCCUUCCACAGUGCAUUUUUCUUAAGUUAUAUUCUUGACCUGUCUUGGACCAGGGGAAUAGUCAAAGUAUAGAUCUGGAUGCCUAGGUUUGAGUCUAGGCUCUGUACUUUGUCCUUUUUUUUUUUUGGUGUUUUUUGAGCUAAUGCCUUUUGCCAAUCUUCCUCUUUUUUGCUUGAAGAAGAGUGGCCCUGAGCUAACAUCUGUGCCCACCUUCCUAUAUUUUGUAUAUGGGUCGCCACCACAGCAUGGCUUGAUGAGUGGUGUAGGUCCGUGCCCAGGAUCUAAACCCAUGAACCCAACCACCUAAGCAGAG